RNAcentral lists this ribosomal RNA (636 nucleotides) under Rhodococcus sp. So3Ps_1749. RNAcentral's name for it is "bacterial SSU rRNA". It matches the Rfam family "Bacterial small subunit ribosomal RNA", at positions 382 to 1031 of the family's 1533-position model. Lineage: Bacteria; Bacillati; Actinomycetota; Actinomycetes; Mycobacteriales; Nocardiaceae. The record is from RNAcentral.
CCUGAUGCAGCGACGCCGCGUGAGGGAUGAAGGCCUUCGGGUUGUAAACCUCUUUCAGCAGGGACGAAGCGCAAGUGACGGUACCUGCAGAAGAAGCACCGGCUAACUACGUGCCAGCAGCCGCGGUAAUACGUAGGGUGCGAGCGUUGUCCGGAAUUACUGGGCGUAAAGAGUUCGUAGGCGGUUUGUCGCGUCGUCUGUGAAAACCCAUCGCUCAACGAUGGGCCGGCAGGCGAUACGGGCAGACUUGAGUACUGCAGGGGAGACUGGAAUUCCUGGUGUAGCGGUGAAAUGCGCAGAUAUCAGGAGGAACACCGGUGGCGAAGGCGGGUCUCUGGGCAGUAACUGACGCUGAGGAACGAAAGCGUGGGUAGCAAACAGGAUUAGAUACCCUGGUAGUCCACGCCGUAAACGGUGGGCGCUAGGUGUGGGUUCCUUCCACGGGAUCUGUGCCGUAGCUAACGCAUUAAGCGCCCCGCCUGGGGAGUACGGCCGCAAGGCUAAAACUCAAAGGAAUUGACGGGGGCCCGCACAAGCGGCGGAGCAUGUGGAUUAAUUCGAUGCAACGCGAAGAACCUUACCUGGGUUUGACAUAUACUGGAAAGCUGCAGAGAUGUAGCCCCCCUUGUGGCCGGU